RNAcentral lists this ribosomal RNA (355 nucleotides) under uncultured bacterium. RNAcentral's name for it is "bacterial SSU rRNA". It matches the Rfam family "Bacterial small subunit ribosomal RNA", at positions 1 to 334 of the family's 1533-position model. The record is from RNAcentral.
ACACGUGAUUCAGAGUUUGAUCCUGGCUCAGGAUGAACGCUGGCGGCGUGCUUAACACAUGCAAGUCGAACGAAGCACCUAUGAUUGAUUCUUCGGAUGAAAGAAUAGGUGACUGAGUGGCGGACGGGUGAGUAACGCGUGGGUAACCUGCCUCAUACAGGGGGAUAACAGUUAGAAAUGACUGCUAAUACCGCAUAAGCGCACAGUACCGCAUGGUACAGUGUGAAAAACUCCGGUGGUAUGAGAUGGACCCGCGUCUGAUUAGCUAGUUGGUGAGGUAACGGCUCACCAAGGCAACGAUCAGUAGCCGGCCUGAGAGGGUGAACGGCCACAUUGGGACUGAGACACGGCCCAA